Molecule: ribosomal RNA, 380 nt
Filed under: Eisenbergiella sp.
Lineage: Bacteria; Bacillati; Bacillota; Clostridia; Lachnospirales; Lachnospiraceae
Description: bacterial SSU rRNA
Rfam family: Bacterial small subunit ribosomal RNA
Source: RNAcentral
AACGCGUGGGAAACCUGCCCUGUACCGGGGGAUAACACUUAGAAAUAGGUGCUAAUACCGCAAAGCGCACAGCUUCACAUGAGGCAGUGUGAAAAACUCCGGUGGUACAGGAUGGUCCCGCGUCUGAUUAGCCAGUUGGCAGGGUAACGGCCUACCAAAGCGACGAUCAGUAGCCGGCCUGAGAGGGUGAACGGCCACAUUGGGACUGAGACACGGCCCAAACUCCUACGGGAGGCAGCAUGGGGAAUAUUGCACAAUGGGGGAAACCCUGAUGCAGCGACGCCGCGUGAGUGAAGAAGUAUUUCGGUAUGUAAAGCUCUAUCAGCAGGGAAGAAAAUGACGGUACCUGACUAAAAAGCCCCGGCUAACUACAUGCCAGC